Molecule: long non-coding RNA, 1303 nt
Organism: Harpia harpyja (harpy eagle)
Lineage: Eukaryota; Metazoa; Chordata; Aves; Accipitriformes; Accipitridae
Exons: 5
Source: RefSeq, a predicted model, not a curated record
CCGCCGCCUCCCCCCUCGCUGCCCCGCGAGUGGCUUUGUUUGCAGAGGAGGUGGCUCCGUGCCUGGUAGGACGAUGUCGAAAGUUCCCGGGCAGCGGGGGAGAGAAGCAAUCUGGGGUCUGUCGAAAGAACUAGUUCGAGGCCACUAACUCAGUCUUCCGCGAAAACCGCAAGCGUGAGAGCCCAGCCCUAACAGCGAAAGGCUGAUACUAAAAGGAAAUUAAGAUGUAAAUGGACUUCUCCGGGAAGGCGACGAGCGGCACUGUGUUGUAAAUAAAUUGCUUCUCAUUCGUGUGCUGCUAAUAAAACUUAAGCGCCUUGCCCACCCUUCGCCCACCCUUCGCCCCUCCGGACCGUAUCGGGGCUGCUGGAAAGGGCGGGAGGUGGGAAAGGACCUCUGGAGAUCGCUCAGUCCGGCCCCCCGGCUUAAAGCAGGGUCGCAGCUUUUACUCCUGUGAGUGAAGAAUGACGUCGUGAAUUGGCAGGGUUAGAUAAUUUGAAAGGAGAAAACAACGAGUGAUAUUGAAUGUGAAAAAUGAAAACUGCCCACCCAGUGAAAAGAAGGGAAAGAAGAAAUCAGGAGGGCAUGUAUAUCUAAGAGUCUUGUCCUUACUUCAGAGAUGCUGCAUACUUACAGCUCUGCCUUCAGUGGGGGGGUGCAGGACACCAAUUCUCCACAAACCACCAACUUGCUGAAAGAUAACUUACACUGAAUCCAUCUCCUCUACAAGACCGGCUGAAUUUCCAUUUGGAAAAGCAAAGUGACAGGGCUAAGUGAGAGCCUUUGCAAUAUACUGCAGUAUGCAAGAAGCAGAAGGAAGACCUUACAGCCUGGCUAAAACAGCCCCACUCCAUAAGAGGGCAGUGGAAGAAAUGAGAACUGAAAAAUAUUCAGAAAUUAUUUUCAGUAGCAUUGAAGUUACAGUUUCCAUAGAGGCAAGGUUCCCAGUGGUUUCAGGUAGCUGGGGGGACAAGCUCUCUGCUGAGCAAAGUUUCAGGGAUUGCACUGAAGUCCGAAGGAUUACUGCAUACAGGAAUUUGUCCUUUGGCUCUCCACUCGCACUCAAUUUUCUGUCUAAACCCACGAUUUAAUUUGGGUGAAUCCUGAUUUAUACCACUAUGAAUAAAAGGGAGCUGAGGCCAUCAGUAGUAUAAAUAAAGCCUUAGCUCAGUGGCAAUCUUGCUUGAGAACUGCAGGAUCAGGCUGUAUAGUACUGGUAGCUCUUUGGCAUUUGAUGAGCAAGUUACCUUUAUUUAUAACAUGGUACAGCAGGACGCGUCACUGUGAUUGACUUAUAACAACU